This 70-nucleotide transfer RNA is filed under the name Urocitellus parryii (Arctic ground squirrel). RNAcentral describes it as "Spermophilus parryii (Arctic ground squirrel) tRNA". It matches the Rfam family "tRNA". Rfam says of the family: Transfer RNA (tRNA) molecules are approximately 80 nucleotides in length. Their secondary structure includes four short double-helical elements and three loops (D, anti-codon, and T loops). Further hydrogen bonds mediate the characteristic L-shaped molecular structure. tRNAs have two regions of fundamental functional importance: the anti-codon, which is responsible for specific mRNA codon recognition, and the 3' end, to which the tRNAs corresponding amino acid is attached (by aminoacyl-tRNA synthetases). tRNAs cope with the degeneracy of the genetic code in two manners: having more than one tRNA (with a specific anti-codon) for a particular amino acid; and 'wobble' base-pairing, i.e. permitting non-standard base-pairing at the 3rd anti-codon position. The record is from Rfam by way of RNAcentral. Lineage: Eukaryota; Metazoa; Chordata; Mammalia; Rodentia; Sciuridae. RNAcentral also lists the same sequence under 2 other names.
GGGGAUGUGGCUCAAGUGGUAGAGCGCUCGCCUAGCAUGCGUGAGGCACUGGAUUCGAUUCUCAGCACCA